GAUGAACGCUGGCGGCGUGCCUAAUACAUGCAAGUCGAGCGAACAGACGAGGAUCUUGCUCCUCUGACGUUAGCGGCGGACGGGUGAGUAACACGUGGAUAACCUACCUAUAAGACUGGGAUAACAUCGGGAAACCGGAGCUAAUACCGGAUAAUAUAUUGAACCGCAUGGUUCAAUAGUGAAAGACGGUUUUGCUGUCACUUAUAGAUGGAUCCGCGCCGCAUUAGCUAGUUGGUAAGGUAACGGCUUACCAAGGCAACGAUGCGUAGCCGACCUGAGAGGGUGAUCGGCCACACUGGAACUGAGACACGGUCCAGACUCCUACGGGAGGCAGCAGUAGGGAAUCUUCCGCAAUGGGCGAAAGCCUGACGGAGCAACGCCGCGUGAGUGAUGAAGGUCUUCGGAUCGUAAAACUCUGUUAUUAGGGAAGAACAAAUGUGUAAGUAACUAUGCACGUCUUGACGGUACCUAAUCAGAAAGCCACGGCUAACUACGUG
RNAcentral lists this ribosomal RNA (497 nucleotides) under uncultured bacterium. RNAcentral's name for it is "partial 16S ribosomal RNA". It matches the Rfam family "Bacterial small subunit ribosomal RNA", at positions 28 to 507 of the family's 1533-position model. The record is from RNAcentral.